RNAcentral lists this ribosomal RNA (497 nucleotides) under uncultured bacterium. RNAcentral describes it as "partial 16S ribosomal RNA". It matches the Rfam family "Bacterial small subunit ribosomal RNA", at positions 28 to 507 of the family's 1533-position model. The record is from RNAcentral.
GAUGAACGCUGGCGGCGUGCCUAAUACAUGCAAGUCGAGCGAACGGACGAGAAGCUUGCUUCUCUGAUGUUAGCGGCGGACGGGUGAGUAAUACGUGGAUAACCUACCUAUAAGACUGGGAUAACUUCGGGAAACCGGAGCUAAUACCGGAUAAUAUUUUGAACCGCAUGGUUCAAAAGUGAAAGACGGUCUUGCUGUCACUUAUAGAUGGAUCCGCGCUGCAUUAGCUAGUUGGUAAGGUAACGGCUUACCAAGGCAACGAUGCAUAGCCGACCUGAGAGGGUGAUCGGCCACACUGGAACUGAGACACGGUCCAGACUCCUACGGGAGGCAGCAGUAGGGAAUCUUCCACAAUGGGCGAAAGCCUGACGGAGCAACGCCGCGUGAGUGAUGAAGGUCUUCGGAUCGUAAAACUCUGUUAUUAGGGAAGAACAUAUGUGUAAGUAACUGUGCACAUCUUGACGGUACCUAAUCAGAAAGCCACGGCUAACUACGUG